This 117-nucleotide ribosomal RNA is filed under the name Omnitrophica WOR_2 bacterium GWA2_47_8. Lineage: Bacteria; Pseudomonadati; Candidatus Omnitrophota. The record is from RNAcentral.
UUCGGUAACGUUGCAGAAGGGGUCACACCCGUUCCCAUUCCGAAUACGGAAGUUAAGCCCUUCGUGGUCGAUGGUACUAUAGUUGCAAAGCUAUGGGAGAGUAGAAAGUUACCGGAU